UGGGGAAUCUUGCGCAAUGGGCGAAAGCCUGACGCAGCCAUGCCGCGUGAGUGAUGAAGGCCUUAGGGUUGUAAAACUCUUUCACCGGGGGCGAUAAUGACGGUACCCGGAGAAGAGGCCCCGGCUAACUUCGUGCCAGCAGCCGCGGUAAUACGAAGGGGGCUAGCGUUGCUCGGAAUUACUGGGCGUAAAGGGCGCGUAGGCGGAUCAGCAAGUUGGGGGUGAAAGCCCGGGGCUCAACCUCGGAAUUGCCUUCAAAACUGCUGAUCUAGAGUACGGGAGAGGUGUGUGGAACUCCGAGUGUAGAGGUGAAAUUCGUAGAUAUUCGGAAGAACACCAGUGGCGAAGGCGACACACUGGCCCGUUACUGACGCUGAGGCGCGAAAGCGUGGGGAGCAAAACAGGAUUAGAUACCCUGGUAGUCCACGCUGUAAAACGAUGAUUGCUAGUUGUCGGCAGGCAUGCCUGUCGGUGACGCAGCUAACGCAUUAAGCAAUCCGCCUGGGGAGUACGGUCGCAAGAUUAAAAACUCAAAGGAAUUGACGGGGUCAUAGCUGUUU
Molecule: ribosomal RNA, 560 nt
Filed under: uncultured bacterium
Lineage: Bacteria
Description: partial 16S ribosomal RNA
Rfam family: Bacterial small subunit ribosomal RNA
Source: RNAcentral